RNAcentral lists this ribosomal RNA (463 nucleotides) under Vreelandella stevensii. RNAcentral's name for it is "partial 16S ribosomal RNA". It matches the Rfam family "Bacterial small subunit ribosomal RNA", at positions 338 to 794 of the family's 1533-position model. Lineage: Bacteria; Pseudomonadati; Pseudomonadota; Gammaproteobacteria; Oceanospirillales; Halomonadaceae. The record is from RNAcentral.
CCUACGGGAGCUGCAGUGGGGAAUAUUGGACAAUGGGCGAAAGCCUGAUCCAGCCAUGCCGCGUGUGUGAAGAAGGCCUUCGGGUUGUAAAGCACUUUCAGUGGGGAAGAAAGCCUUGGGGCUAAUACCCUCGAGGAAGGACAUCACCCACAGAAGAAGCACCGGCUAACUCCGUGCCAGCAGCCGCGGUAAUACGGAGGGUGCGAGCGUUAAUCGGAAUUACUGGGCGUAAAGCGCGCGUAGGCGGUCUGAUAAGCCGGUUGUGAAAGCCCCGGGCUCAACCUGGGAACGGCAUCCGGAACUGUCAGGCUAGAGUGCAGGAGAGGAAGGUAGAAUUCCCGGUGUAGCGGUGAAAUGCGUAGAGAUCGGGAGGAAUACCAGUGGCGAAGGCGGCCUUCUGGACUGACACUGACGCUGAGGUGCGAAAGCGUGGGUAGCAAACAGGAUUAGAUACCCGGGUAGU